This 1877-nucleotide long non-coding RNA is filed under the name Homo sapiens (human). Its description in RNAcentral is "HSALNT0403057". Lineage: Eukaryota; Metazoa; Chordata; Mammalia; Primates; Hominidae. The record is from RNAcentral.
AGAUGCUUUGCCUCGCCUCUCGCUGUGUAUCUGUAUGCCUGUGUGCGCGCGCGUGCUCGCUCGGGCAUCCGUGUCUAGCCGAGGGGAGGGGGUGGCGUGUGAGUGCGUGGAGGGUAAAAGCCAGUCAGUCAGUGAGAAGCAAAGAUCAACCACCUCAGAAGAGCCAGAUUCCACUUCUGUGGCCAGGACUUUUACAUUAUGGCUGGUCCGAUUGUUUUACCCUGCGUUCUAUGCUACUAAACCUUGGAUCAUUCCUAAAGUGUCUGAUGAUUUGUGAGCCUCAAGUGACUACUCUGUGGAAUCAUCUGUCCUUGCCUUUGAAUUAGCUUUCCCUAGGCCAUGAGUCAACAUUAGUAGUUUAUACAUCCAAAUUGAUGACAAGAGCACCUCAAAGGCAGCAGCCUCAAGGAGCAGCCAUGGCCCCAGACUUGUCGCACGGAUGCAGAAAACUUAAUGGAGGAGGCUGAGGUCAGAAUGGGAAGAGUUUUUAAAAAAUAAAAAGGGGAGCUAAUAUGUGAGGAACUGAUUGCUGUGCAUUAUUUUCCACUGAACAGACCUUCUUUUAACUUCUAAUCUCAAGCACAUAGCAGCUGUUGUUUUCAUAUUAAAGAUCAGUAAGUGUUUGUUGAAUGAAUGUAUAAAUUCUUCCCCAAUCUCUGUUCCAUGUAAUAAGAACUAAGUUAGCAUUCAAUUAUAAAGAGGACUUAGAAAGUCUGCAGACAUUUUUGAUCAAAAAUCCUUUUAACUGUCUUCUUAUGGUUCCCGGUAACACCUAAGCCCAAAAAACUCAGGUCAUUUCUUGCCUGUACUGUUGCAAUAGCCUCAUAAUAACUAGUCUUCUCCUUUAUCAACCACAGUCGUCUCCGCUACACAAAGAAGAGAGGGUGCUAAUCUAAAGUGUAAAUUAUUUUAAAUCAGCACCCUUCUUGUAAUUUCCCAGUGGUUUUUCCUGUCAUAAGAAUAACAUGCAAAAUUCCUUGCUUGCAAAGCCAGGUAUGACCUUGCCCCGUCUACCUUACUGGCAUCGUCUCUCAUGACUCUUCCCCUUUUUCACUCUCCAUCUUGCCUUUUCCCAACCAUGCCUGCUAGUGAGCCUUAGCCCUUGUGUUUUCUCUGCCAGGGAUGCAUGACUGGCUUCUUUACUUUAUUCUGAUCUCUCUGCUCAAAUGUCAUCUUUUUAGAGAUAGCUUUCCUAAACAUCUUUAAAAGUACCCCAUGAACUGUGAAACACCUUUCCUGCUUUUUCUUCAUAGUACUUAUCACUUCCUGAUAUUAUGUUAGACAACAAGCAAAUAAGUAUAUGCUGUUCCCACUAAAAUAUAAGCUCCAUUUGAACAGGAGCCUUGAUUAUUCCUGAGUAUACCCCUAGUGCCCAGAACCUAGUAGGGCUUUAAUAAAUAUUAGAUUCAUUUGUUGAAUGAAAAAAUGAAUGAAUAAUUGAAUAAAGAUAUCCAGGUAGAGUGUCCGGGCAGCCCAACCUAUGUGAAGCCAGUACAAGAAUGUUUCUGUGACAUAGUGAGCGCAAUUAUUCCUCUAAAUGAUGAACUUGCAUGAGUACACAAGGAUAAAAUUAAGCACGUAGUUUAGAUUUCUGCAAGUCUCUUCCUCAGAUUGAGGAAAAACAAAGAAAUUGAGCUUAUUCUCACCUCAUUCUUACAUGAACUAAAUCCAGAAUAAAGCAUCAUUUAAAUACCAAGCACAUCCCUACCUCAGCCACUCAUGGAAUACUUUAUCUGUAAAGGGACAGAUAGAUAGUAAAUAUUUUUGGCUUUGGGGACCGUACAGUCUGUGUCGCCACUACUCAGCACUUCUGUUGAGGUGUGGAAUCAGCCCUAGACAACACAUAAACAAAUGGGUGUGGCUGUGUUCCAAUAAAA